GUGGGGAAUCUUAGACAAUGGGGGAAACCCUGAUCUAGCCAUGCCGCGUGAGCGAUGAAGGCCUUAGGGUUGUAAAGCUCUUUCAGCUGGGAAGAUAAUGACGGUACCAGCAGAAGAAGCCCCGGCUAACUCCGUGCCAGCAGCCGCGGUAAUACGGAGGGGGCUAGCGUUGUUCGGAAUUACUGGGCGUAAAGCGCGCGUAGGCGGACCAGAAAGUUGGAGGUGAAAUCCCAGGGCUCAACCUUGGAACUGCCUUCAAAACUCCUGGUCUGGAGUUCGAGAGAGGUGAGUGGAAUUCCGAGUGUAGAGGUGAAAUUCGUAGAUAUUGGGAGGAACACCAGUGGCGAAGGCGGCUCACUGGCUCGAUACUGACGCUGAGGUGCGAAAGCGUGGGGAGCAAACAGGAUUAGAUACCCGAGUAGUCC
RNAcentral lists this ribosomal RNA (425 nucleotides) under uncultured bacterium. RNAcentral describes it as "partial 16S ribosomal RNA". It matches the Rfam family "Bacterial small subunit ribosomal RNA", at positions 354 to 796 of the family's 1533-position model. The record is from RNAcentral.